ACUCCUCGCCGGAACAUUCCACCGGCGUAACCACCAAUUACAUAUACACAGCAUCACACUUUACGCUUACCAGAUCUAGGCUUCCUCUGAGCACGCGCCUCCUUGCGUUUCCCAAACGCACCUCCACAAAAUCCACAAGCCGAAACCUUCGGCGACAAACGGUGGGAUUAUCCUUGAGUCGCUUCCCCUCGGCGCCGCCGCAGCUGACGACGCCGUCUCCAUCAACGUCCGCUGCUCCAACGGCUCCAAGUUUAGUGUCCGAGCGAGUGUGGGAUCCACUGUGUCGCAGUUCAAACAAGUUGUCGCGGAGAAUUGCAAUGUUCCAGCUGUGCAGCAGCGGCUGAUUUACAAGGGACGGAUCUUAAAGGAUGAUCAAACCCUAGAUAGUUAUGGCUUAAUUGGGUUCUGUAGCUGGGUAAGUUCAUGUGAGACCCGACCAUGGCUCAGGUGAGGGGUUCCAAUAACCCUAAGUGGUUUGUUACAUUAUUAAUUCGAUUGAAUCUAGUAUUGAUCCCAAGUUUGUUGAAUUCGAGUUAUUUGAUUUAAUUUUAUUUGUCGUCGUUUUUUUAUAUUUUGAUAUUCAUCCAUUUUAUAUAUUGUGUUGUUCUGGUAUUGCUAAUUUUAUGGAUGUAGGAACUUCUUGAUAUCUAUGGUGGUGAUGGAUAGGUCCAGAAAGGGUGGAGAAGAAGAGCUAUUUUGGCGAUAAUUGUGCCUUAAUUAAGGAUACUAAUUAUUCUUAAUUAAGGUUUUAGUACCGUUUAUGGCGACCAUUUAUGGCGACCAUUAUUGGGGCAUUAUUGGCCCAUAAGAGGCAUUUAAGUGCCAUAAUGUUGGCUCGUUUAUGUCUUUUAUUUUAAUUUUAAAUUUGCUCACAUUCGUUCAUUCUGUUUUGUCUUAUUUUCAGGAUGUUUGAAAAAGCAUUUAAGAAUUUAUCUAUUAAGGCGUCUUCCGAGAAGACGCGAAUUUUGGUGGACAAGACAGUUGAGCUACAAACAAAGAUAGAAAGGAAUAAAGAAGACUUCAUUUUUAGUCUAUUUUGUAAUCGAUGUAUUUUUUUGUAGGGUACUCUUUUUCCCCCUUGAGUUUUUUUCCCACAGGGUUUUGCUCUUGAGGGGUUUUAACGAGGCCCUUUUUUUGUGGGUUUUCUCUUCGGACUUGAAAGGUUAUGUUAUCUAAGCGUCCGGAGUAUUUACAUACUUUCGGUUAGAUGAUAUACCUUCUUGAAUGAAGGAAACUCUGUCCAUCCGGAUUGUAAUUUUUUCUUGGUUUAAUACAACCGUUUAUUGUGACAAAAAAAAAAAAAAAA
RNAcentral lists this long non-coding RNA (1306 nucleotides) under Daucus carota (carrot). RNAcentral's name for it is "long non-coding RNA (DCAR_LNC000028)". The record is from RNAcentral. Lineage: Eukaryota; Viridiplantae; Streptophyta; Magnoliopsida; Apiales; Apiaceae.